Molecule: long non-coding RNA, 2132 nt
Filed under: Mus musculus (house mouse)
Lineage: Eukaryota; Metazoa; Chordata; Mammalia; Rodentia; Muridae
Description: long non-coding RNA chr18:23652864-23654996
Source: RNAcentral
UUAUCAUCCGUGUCUGGGGUUUAGUGACAACAGUAACUAUAAUUUUAGAUUUUUUUAGGUGACUUUUCUUCAGUCUACAACAAAUACUACAUUCUCAAUGUUCAUGGUCCAUGAGCAAAUGAAAAGGGAGUUCUAUUAAUGACAAGAUCUAGCUGGAGUUUUGCUUUGAACAAUAAAUUCUCUCUCUUUGCCUUCCCAUGCUCGAUGUUCUCAAGGAAAGGAGUGGGGAAGGGACCAUGUGUUCUCACUCAGUGUGUGUCCUGGAGUAUGGUGGCGUGGUUUUCCUCAAAGGCCGUGUAAGCUGGGGUGACAGGACGGACGGAAUGCAUCUGCGGCUCUCUGGACUCUCUCUCUCCCACUCUCUCUGUCUCUGUGCAUGGCUUCCAGCCAAAUAAUUCACCAGCUUGACUGCCUCACGGACUUGACAUGUCACCUUUCUCGUUUGUGUCCUUUGUCACCCACAGGUCAGCUUGCAAGGUUGAAUGCAAUGCCCUUUUCUCACUCUCCUCUCAAGUAAGUACCCUGUUGUUUGGGAGGAAGCAUGGACACUGUAGGCUGAGCUGGGAUGACUCUCAGCCUAAGCUCACGGUCACUCUUUCUGUGUGAUAUGGUAUACUCUGUCCCCACUGCUAUCAGAAUGGUAACUGCACAGAGCUCAUUAUGCUCCUGUGUAAAUCCCCAGACAUCCCUGGAGUUGGUAUUUUACUUGUUGAUUAGAGCAGUUGUCACAGAAACUUCCAUGGCUCCUGAGAUGUAUCACACUGUCUAUGGUCACAUCACCUAUAGCAUCAGAGAAGGAGACCAAGCUACUUCAGCGUCUCUGGGUGUCAGCUUCUUAGACCCCAAAGAACAAGUGUGUCUCUUAGCAAGGGAUAACACAACCAAAGAAAAAAGUCCUGCAGCUUUGUGCUUUGAAGGGGACUAAUUGAAAUUCACUGUGAGGUUCAGCAUGAUAGAAGUUAACUUAAGGCAGCAUUUGGGUAAUUUUAUCCCACUCUAAAGAUUUACCUAACCUUGAGCCAAAUUCUCAAGUCGAUUUUUUUUUUUUAAAUCACCAAAAGACUGGAACUUGCCUGUCAAAAUCACUUGAGUGUCAUGGUCUAAGUCUUGGGUUCUGCAUUUUAUUACACCCAUUUUUAAGUAUGAAUCUCACCAAAACUUAGCAUAAUUUGGAUAAAUUAUUAAGCCUUUCUGAGUUUCCAGUUCCUCUAUACAUCGUGAUAUCACACCUACCUCACACACAGGAGGUGGACACGUAGUAUAUAGUUUUAAAGAGCUUAAGUACACCAUAAUUAGCUGUGAACAUACAAAUGUAUGCAUGGCUCAACUAUGUCCCAUGCUUCAGAUCCCAUGCCGUAUUAGGAAGCUGCUACAGUCCUCACGGAAGUGUGUGGGGAAAGGUAUUUCAACUUUUAUAAACAGGCCAGGACUCUGCUCCCUGCAGUGAUGAAGGAGCGAGCCCACUGACCCAUAAGUCUAGAUGGCUUCUCUAGCUCUAGCUACUGGCCAUUUAUUUGGUGGUCCCUCCUCACAGCCUAAGUUAAAAUGCUUCCUACAGCAAUCAGUCUAGCCUGGCUAAAGGACCUGUCUGAUGUAGUUACAUAAUCCUUCCCAACUGUGGGAUCACAUGAGCCUGCAGGGGAGCCAGCAAUGCCCUCUGCCAACCCUGGUUGCUAAUUUUAGGAAUGAACAUAUUUCUUCAACAACAUUUCAAGUAGUAAUGGAUUCACACUAGUUCAAGCACUAUAAACAGCCUCACUUCAACGCCAGGUUCACAGCAAGUGAAUAAGACUGCACUGAGAGGCAGCCCUCCUGAGCUCUAGGAGAGAUCUCACGGCUACACUCCACUUGCCCUCCCUUGCAUUUGAAGUUGUAACCGCACAUGUUCCCCUAAUCCACAAUGACUAUAGCGAAAAAAACUCCCAGGAGCUGUUUCUGAAAAUAUUCACUCCAGUUAUAGAAAAUCUAGUCCCACAGGAAAGGCCUUUCCUAAAUAGCAUUUUUUUUUCUUUCUCUUAGUUCCAACAACUUAACCAUUUUUGUUCUGUGUAUCCUUUAAACAGUCAGAGCCUGUUCUUAGAAAAACAUUCUUUUAAAAAAAAAAAGUAAUAAAAUGGCCUUGAUAUAAACCC